GGGGCCGAACCAGCGCAAAGAUGGCGGCGUCCUUAGACGAUGAAUUACAGUUGGAUAACCAAGACUAUUAUUCUCUUCUCAACGUCAGGAAAGAGGCCACUCAGGAUGAGCUGAAGGCUUCCUAUAGGAGGUUGUGUAUGCUCUACCACCCAGACAAACACAGAGACCCAGAGCUGAAGAGCCAGGCAGAGCAGCUAUUUAACCAGGUGCACCAGGCCUAUGAAGUGUUGAGUGAUCCUCAGUCCAGGGCCAUCUAUGACAUAUUUGGGAAGAAAGGCCUGGAGGUGGAGGGCUGGGAGAUUGUGGAGAGGAAGAGGACCCCAGUAGAGAUCCGUGAGGAGUAUGAGCGGCUGCAGCGAGAGAGAGAGGAUAGGAGGCUACAGCAGAGGACCAACCCCAAGGGUACCAUUAGCGUGGGAGUAGAUGCCACAGACCUGUUUGAUCGCUAUGAUGAGGACUUUGAGGAGAUGCCAGGAGGAGGAUUCCCUCACAUCGAGAUCAACAGGAUGCACAUCUCCCAGUCUAUUGAGGCUCCGUUGACUAACUCUGACACUGCAAUGCUGUCUGGCUCUCUCUCCACACACAACGGCAACGGAGGAGGCAACAUCAACAUGACUGUCCGCCGUGUCACCUCUGCCAAGGGCUGGGGAGAGUUGGAGUUUGGUGCAGGGGACAUACUGGGACCUCUGUUUGGGAUGAAGGUGUUCCGUAACCUGACUCCACGAUGUUUCCUGACGGCUCAGUGUGGUAUGCAGUUCUCUCCCCGUGGUGUGCGUCCCAGCUGUUCUUUAAUGACAGCUCGUCACCUAGACCAGAACACGAUGGGUUACCUGCAGUGGCGAUGGGGACCCCACAGCUCUAUGACCACUAGUGUGGUCCGAGACACCAAGACCAGCCACUUCACCCUGGCACUGCAGCUGGGUGUACCUCACUCCUAUCUGAUGAUGAGUUACCAGUACAAGUUCCAGGAUGAGGACCAGACCAAGGUCAAGGGAUCGAUCAAGACUGGUUGGUUUGGUACAGUGGUGGAGUAUGGAGCAGAGAGGAAGAUCAGUCGGCACAGUGUCCUGGCUGCUACUGUCAGUGUCGGAGUGCCACAGGGAGUCACCCUCAAAAUCAGGUUGGCUCGUGCCAAUCAGACCUAUCUAUUCCCAGUCCACCUGACAGACCAGCUGCUGCCCAGUGCAGUGUUCUACGCCACUGUGGGGCCUCUACUAGUCUACAUGGCCAUACACAGACUGGUCAUUAUACCAUACACAUGCUCCCAGAAACAACAAGAUCUGGAGCUACAGAGGAAGAGCUCAGAAGUAGACAUGGUCAAGAAGAAACAAGAGGCGGAGUCAGCCGUUCUGCUGAUGCAGGAGUCUGUGAGGAGAAUCAUCGAGGGAGAGGAGUCUAAGAUGGGUCUGAUCAUCCUGAAUGCGUGGUAUGGAAAGUUUGUGACAGACAACAGCACGCGCCAAGAGAGAGCUCAGGUUAUAGAUGUUACUGUCCCUCUGCAGUGUCUGGUCAAGGACUCCAAACUCAUACUCACAGAGGCAUCAAAGGCGGGGUUGCCAGGUUUCUAUGACCCGUGUGUAGGAGAGGAUAAGAGUCUGAAGCUGCUGUAUCAGUUCAGGGGGGUGAUGCACCAAGUCCUCUCAGCAGACACUGAGGCUCUACGGAUACCCAAGCAGUCUCACAGAAUCGAUGCUGAGGCGUAGGAACCCUCUGUUAUGGGAGCAACAAGGGGCAAGUGGAGACAGACAGAUACAGGCAGGCGGGACGGACGGACGGACGGACGGACGGACGGACGGACGGACGGACGGACGGACGGACGGACGGACGGACGGACAGACAGACAGACAGACAGACAGACAGACAGACAGACAGAAGGACUGACAAGCAGAGGUCGAGAGUCAAACAAAGGGAAUAGAAAUUCUCUCUCUUUACCCAUCACAUUUAUGAAUUCAGACAUGAGUUCCUCUUCUCUCUCCGCUCUCAAAACCCACUAGAUUCCUCUCUUUUAGCCAUUGUAGUUUCCACUGUGUGUGUGUGUCUGUAUGUGUGCGUGUGUGCGUGCGUGUAAAAUGUACUGAAAUCUCCCUCUCUCCUCAUCUCCCCAGAAAGGUGCAAUAUGACUCACGGUGUACAUAUCAGUGAAGUCUGCUACAGUUAAUAUUGUAUAACUAAUGUACCACUGUACUAUACUAGUUGUACUCAUGUUUUACACUACUAACUCAUGCGUUACGGUUAGAACAGAACUAUGCAUGAAAACGUGUUCAUCAGUACCACUAUACUGACACCCAGCACUACACUUGAAGGCAAAAAAAAUAUUGUUUUGUUAAUAAUUGACGUAUUAUUAUUAUUAUUCCUUGGAAGCGAUGUGUCUGCUGCUGUUGUUGUGUGGGGCAGGGUCUAAUUAUCUGAGUGACAGUCAUUCUAAUAACACAUAAGGGCACACCCAUAAGGGUUGAAAAGAAUUCAGAGAAUAUUAACACUGGUCUAUUUUUAAGGCACCCCCAGUAGCCAAUGUGUGAUUGGAGCCCUGGUAGGCUGGGUUGAGUUGAUAUGACUGAGAUGGAUGCUGGGGAAGCACUGCCUGAGCAACAGUGAAGAGUAGAGAGAACGUCCAAUGAUGUCAUUCAUUCGGAAAGUAUUCGCUAUUUUCCACAUUUUGUUACUUUACAGCCUUAUUCUAAAAUGUAUUAAAUAAAUAAAGAUCCUCAGCAAUUUACACACAAUACCCCAUAAUGACUAAGUGAAAACAGGUUUUUAGAAAUGUUUGCAAAUGUAUUAAUAAUAAAAAAAUAGAAGUACCUUAUUUACAAAAGUAUUCAGACCCUUGUCUAUGAGACUCAACUGAGCUCAGGUGAAUCCUGUUUCCAUUGAUCAUCCUUGAGAUGUUUCUACAACUUGAUUGGAGUCCACCUAUGGUAAAUUCAAUUGAUUGGACAUGAUUUUGAAAGGCACACAGCUGUCUAUAUAAGGUCCCACAGUUGACAGUGCAUGUCAGAGCAAAAAUCUAGCCAUGAGGUUGAAGGAAUUGUCCGUAGAGCUCACAACAGGAUUGUGUCGAGGCACAGAUCUGGGGAAGGGUACCAAACCAUUUCUGCAGCAAUGAAGGUCCCCAAGACCACAGUGGCCUUCAUCAUUCUUAAAUGUAAGAAGUUUGGAACCACCAAAACUCUCCCUGGAGCUGGCUGCUGAACAAUCGGGUGUGAAGAGCCGAGGUCAGGGAGGUGACCAACAAUCAGGCCUUAAUGGUAGAGUGGCCAGACGGAAGCCGUUCCUCAGUAAAAGGCACAUAACAGCCCGCUUGGAGUUUGCUAAAAGGCACUUAAAGACUCUCAGAUCAUAAGAAACAAGAUUGUCUGGCCUGAUGAAACCAAGAUUGAACUAUUUGGCCUGAAUGCCAAGCAUCAUGUUUUGAGGAAACCUGGCACCAUCCCUACAGUGAAGCAUAGUGGUGACAGCAUGAGGAUGUUUUUCAGUGUCAGGGACUGGGAGACUAGUAAGGAUUGAGGCAAAGACAAACGGAGCAAAGCAUAGAGAUAUCUUUCAUGAAAACCUGCUCCAGAUCGCUCAGGACCUCAGACUGGGGCGAAGGUUCACCUUCCAACAGGACAACGACCCUAAGCACACAGCCAAGACGACACAGGAGUGGCUUCAGGACAAGUCCCUGAAUGUCCUUGAGUGGCCCAGCCAGAGCCUGGACUUGAACCAAAUCAAACACCUCUGGAGAGACCUGAAAAUAGCUGUGCAGCAACACUCCCCAUCUUACCGGACAGAGCUUGAGAGGAUUUCCAGAGAAGAAUGGGAGGAACACUCCAAAUACAGGUGUGCCAAGCUUGUAGCGUCAUACCCAAGAAGACUUGAAGCAUCUUUGGCAGCGAUUACAGCCUCAACAAAGUACUGAGUAAUGGGUCUGAAUACAUAUACAGUUGAAGUUGGAAGUUUAUACACUAAAUUGACUGUGCAUUUAAACAGCUUGGACAAUUCCAGAAAAUGAUUUAGAAGCUUCUGAUAGGCUAAUUGACAUAAUUUGAGUCAAUUGGAGGUGUACCUGUGGAUGUAUUUCAAGGCCUACCUUCAAACUCAGUGUCUCUUUGCUUGAAAUCAUAGGAAAAUAAAAAUAAAUCAAAGACCUCAGAAAAAAAAAAAUUGUAGACCUCCACAAGUCUGGUUUAUAUUUGGGGAAAAUUUCCGAACGCCUGAUGGUACCACAUUCACUCAAAGAUGCAUAUCGUUCAGUCUAGCGGAAGAGGGCUCAGCAUACUUUUCUCAGACUAGCAAACUGAAAAGUAGAAAAAGUACCUGGCUGAAAAUGACUAAUCUGCUGUAUAGCCAACUGCCAGCGCUAGUGUAAAAAAACUAAAUUGUCUUCAUUCACAUUCAUUCCAAGCACUGUGGUUGGACUGCGACUGAGGUAGUGACAACAUACUGUCCCCUAAAUGAACACGAGUACCAGAGUUGAGGAAGAUGACCGGUUGAGAUCCUGAUGUGCUGAAGGGUUAACCCUAACCCUAACCCUACUCCUAACCCUAACCCAGUUAAAAAGGUGAGACAGAGCUCUGCAGAGUCUGCCUGCCAGUUGGGAUGUGCACAGUUAUUUGAAUAUCAGUGUUAGUAUUCAAAUACUUGUAGGAGUAUUCAUUUGUGAAAAAUGUGUUACAUAAGGGUAAAGAGAGACAUUUAAAAUUACUUUUAUUAAAUUCACUUCAGUGUAGUUAAGACCACCGCAUGACCCAUAAAAAGAAUGGUAUCCUUCACGUGUGUCGCUUGUUUAUGUUGGCAAAUCAAAGCGGAAGAGGAGUACAAGUUCACUAAUGCAAUGCAAGAUGGAAUACAAUUACAGAAUUAAAAGUUAGCUAAAAGGAGGACUAGGCUACAAUGAGCAACCCAACAGGUAGGCUGUUUUAUCUGAAUGGCAUUGGGAAAAAAGCAGAGCAUGUGCCCUCAAUAAGCCUAGCUAGCUACUCUAGGCUACUCCAUGCAAGACAGGCAUGGUUAUAUGGGAUGAUAAACAAUAGUGGUUGCUACAAGUUCUCUAGUUUUGCUGUAGUCAAGUUCCCUUAGAGAGUCUCUCUCCCUCAGUCUGCUCGGCACAUAUGCCGACCAAUACCCUCCGCAGCUGUAGCAAUAGUGCACAAGUCUCAUCUUUGCGCAGUAGCGCUCAGGUUAAAACAAAUUUUAAAAAAUAAAAUGUUUUGAAUAUCUGACAAAAAGUCCUGAUACUAUUUGAAGUCAAAUGAUUUCAAACACCCAUCCCUUCCUGCCAGUCACAAUUCAACUAAGCUUGGGCAGUAUACCGGGCAGUAUACCGGGCAGUAUACCGGGCAGUAUACCGGGGUAUUUGGAAAUAGCCACAGGGUGGUUUUUCAAAUCAAUUUGAAGAUUUGUAGCUACUUUAAGUAAAAUACUUAGUCAACUUCUGCAAUACACGUUAGGAGAUAAGGACUGCGUUCUUCAUUUCACCCAUCACAAUUUUUCAUCAUGACACUUACCGGUAGUUCUCAGUCGUGAGGUGUUUGUUUACAAGGUCACAAUGACGAGACCAGAGCCUUGAGUGAGUCACUUUUAUUCAGCACGCACCAGGUGAUCGCGUUACAGUAUGGAAUUCACAACCAAAUGUUCGCCCGCUAGAUAUCUUAGCUAUUAAGUUAACCGUGUAAAAAUGUGCUAAAUUCUCUGUAGUGGUGCAUUAGGUUUGCUAAUUUAGUAGCUAGUUAGCCAUCUAGCUAAGUGGGUAGCUUCUUCCAAAAAUCAAGCUUCACAUGACAGCAGAGAAUCUCUCUCUGCUUUUUAGCAUUUAAUUAGCAUGCUCUAUGGGAUUUUACAUGUACUUGUUAGCAUUGCUAACAUUUGGAUUACAAAGGCGGAGUGGGGUAUCCUGGUAUGGCACAAGAUUGGUAUGUAGGUAUGACAAUCUGGAUACCACCCAAGCCUAUAUUACACAACACUCUCCCCCAUUGUCUUCUGAACUAUCACUCACAUGCUGGUUACAUAAACUACCUACAUCUCCCUCUAUUUCGCUACCCUCACACACACCUCGCUGAAUACACACUCCAUCUCAUUACACACACACACACACACCUUACUCAUUACAUAAACGCUGCUUUCAUUACACACUCCCUCUGUCCACCUCUCAUCCUCUUUAUCUUGUCACGGAGACAAAAUCUCAGUACAGUUUGAAAUAACUGUUGGUUAAGUAGUACAACAGUGAUUAUUGGAUGCCUAACACCCAGAGAUCUCCUGUUCAAUAGCCGUGUAAGGCCCGGUCUGUAAAACAACCCCUUGCACGGGACAAACUCUUCUGCAUUAUGGGGAUGGCUUUAAUAGCAUUCAAAUGGGUUGAAUGGAACUCAGGAAUAUUGCUUAUCCAUUCAUCUGAUAGAUCUGGGUGAUGGGAAGGGACAGGGGCCUGUACUGCAACUAUACAUCACACCUCCAGACACUGCCCUAAUGGAGAGAACUGAGACAAGGACAUUUGGGUAAUUUAAAUAGAGUAGUGUUCUUCACACAUACACAGCAGAGCUGAGCUGCUGGCAUAGAAAAAUGGGCUCUGUCAGUGAGAUGGAGAACACAGGGUUUUGUGAGGCUAGAGAAAACACAUUGAUCUUUAUAGUUUAUCCAUCUACUCUGUACCCAUAGACUGAACAAACCCACGGUCACAAUAUUGCUGACAUUUUCUGUUUUACUGGGAGGGGUGGGAAUCAGUAAGCACAGAGAGGAACGGGGAAGAAACAGUUUUCCUUGAGAAAAAAAAAACAAUCAAACUGAACGUUGGACACUGAUGACAGCUCGACCUACAUGAUGCACACUAACAUCUAGAAGCAAAAUCAAUCUCAUAUUUACACAUGCACAGAAAACUACACUGUCAGAGGUUAUUGGCACAACACAUUUGAAUUAGCCUAAAUUGUUGUUCUCCCACUUUGAGCCAGGCUGUCCUCUAGCCCAGGGAAACAGGCUGAAUCCUCAGCCAAGUUGCAUUAAUAGUGUGACAGAAGACCAUUUACACCCACCCGCCGUACUAUUGCUCGCCCUCCAUCCGCCCUCUGACCAGCCAGCCUUCCCCUCCCCCUCCCCGUGCAGACAGUGGGUCACUGCGGCUUUAAGCUGAGGCAUAACGUCAUCGGUUUAGAAGCGCUGCACAGCAUAGCACAGCUCAAUCAGCACACAUAGCUAGAUCACAACAACGCACAGCAUAGAACUCAAAGCCACUCACUGACAUCUCACAAAAGUGAUUCAGAGUACCCUGCAGCAGGUGAUAACAGACACUGCCACAAUGACCGUAUAAUCGUGUAACAGAUGGUUAUGAUGAAGACAGUCAUGAAAAUAAGAACCAUCAUAAUGGUUAGGGAACAAAAAUAAAAAUGGGUGGAACGAACAGCUGACAGAAUUGCCAGGCAUUGUUGUUGAGUCAAUUUCUGCGGUAACUUUCGGUUACUGGCCCAGUGCAAAUACAAACGUGAUUUUCUUGGCAAUAGGUAGCCUAGUGGUUAAGCGUGUUGGGCCAGUAACCGAAAGGUCACUAGUUCGAAUCCCCGGGCAGACUAGGUUAAAAAUCUGUCAAUGUGCCUUUGAGCAAGGCACUUAACCCUAAUUGCUCCUGUAAGUUGCUCUGUAUACAAGAGUCUGAAUGCUUAAAAUGUAAAAAUAUGGUGAAUGUUUAAUACAAUACUUUAAAAAAAUGGAUUAAAUUGAAACUGUCUAUGCUAGUGAGACAAUACCCCACCCAUAAUGUCAAAGUGGAAUGUUUUUUUAGAUUAUGCUUUUAUUAAAAAUGAAGUCAAGUAUUCAACCCCUUUGUUAUGGCAAGCCUAAAUACGUUCAGGAGUAAAAAUUCGCUAAGAACAAGCCACAUAAGUUGCAUGGGCUGUGUGCAAUAGUGUUUAACAUGAUUUUCGAAUGACUACCCCAUCUCUGUACUCCACACAACUACUUGUAAUGUCCCGCAAUUGAGUAGUGAAUUUCAAAACAGAAUCAACCAAAGACCAGGGAUGUUAUUCAAUGCCUCACAAAGGGAACCUAUUGGUAGAUGGGUAAUAAAGGGGGCAAAAGCAGACAUUGAACAUCCCUUUGAGCAUGGUGAAGUAGAUUACACUUUGGAUGGUGUAUCAAUACAUCCAGUUACUACAAAGAUACAGGCACCCUUCCUAACUCAGUUGCCGGAGAGGAAUGAAACCGCUCAGGGAUUUCACCAUGAGGUCAAUGGUGACUUUAAAACAGGUACAGUUUAAUGGCUGUGAGAAGAAAACUGAGGAUGGAGCAACAACAUUGUAGUUACUCCACAAUACUAACCUAAAUGACAGAGUGAAAUUGAAGCCUGUACAAAAUAAAAAUCUUCCAAAACAUGCAUCAUGUUGGCAAUAAACUGCAAAAAAAGUGGCAAAGAAAUUACCUUCGUGUCCUGAUUACAAAGCAUUAUGUUCAGGGAAAAUAUGUCACUGAGUACCACCUCAUAUUUUCAAGCAUUGUGGUGGCUGCAUCAUGUUAUGGGUAUACUUGUCAAUGGCAAGGACAAAAAAUUAACUUAUUAGAACUAAGCACGGGUAAAAUCCUAGAGGAAAACAUGGUUCAGUCUGCUUUCCAACAGACACUGGGAGACAGAUUAACCUUUCAGCAGGACAUUAACCUAAAACAUGGCUAAAUCUACACAAGCUGAUUAGCAAGAUGACAUUGAAUGUCACCUUGACAGAGCUUGAAGAAUAUUAAAAAAAUGCACAUCUUAAGAGAAACCUACACAGCUUUAAUCGUGGCGAAAUGUGAUGAACAUGCAUUGACUCAGGGGUGUGAAUACUUAUGCAAAUGAGAUAUUUCUGCAUUUCAUUUUCAAUACAUUUCUAAAAACAUGCUCUCACAUAGGGUAUUGUGUGUAGAUGGGUGAGAGAAAAAAUGCAAUCCAUUUUGAAUUCAGGCUCUAACAACAAAAUGUGGAAGAGGUCAAGGCGUAGGAAUACUUUCUGAAGGCACUGUAUAGGCUAUAUUUCCUCUUUGUGAAAAUGAUAAUCCCUUUUAGUGUAAGAGCGGUUUGAAAAGACCUAACACUUCAGCCUGUUUUGGUGCUAAAUUAGUUAGAUCAGUAAGUGAGCUCGAAUCCUCUCUACCAAUAACGGCUAAACUCAACAAAAAAAUUUUCAGCAAAAUUAACAUGUGUAAAUAUUUGUAUGAACAUAAGAUUCAACAAAAACUGAACAGCUUCCACAGACAUGUGACUAACAGAAAUGGAAUAAUGUGUCCCUGAACAAAGGGACACAAAUCAAAAGUAACAGUAUCUGGUGUGGCCACCAGCUGCAUUAAGUACUGCAGUGCAUCUCCUCCUCAUGGACUGCACCAGAUUUGCUAGUUCUUGCUGUGAGAUGUUAGCCCCACUCCUCCACCAAGGCACCUGCAAGUUCCCGGACAUUUCUGGGGGGGAAUGGCCCUAGCCCUCACCCUCCGAUCCAACAGGUCCCAGACGUGCUCAAUGGGAUUGAGAUCCAGGCUCUUCACUGGCCAUGGCAGAACACUGAAAUCAGCCAUUCUGCUCGUUCUGUGAGUGGUGGCAAUGUCAUGCUGGAGAGUCAUGUCAGGAUGACCCUGCAGGAAAGGUACCACAUAAAGGAGGAGGAUGUCUUCCCUGUAACGCACGGCGUUGAGAUUGCCUGCAAUGACAACAAGCUCAGUCCGAUGAUGCUGUGACACACCACCCCAGACCAUGAAGGACCCUCCACCUCCAAAUUGAUCCCGCUCCAGAGUACAGGCCUCGGUGUAACGGUCAUUCCUUCGACUAUAAACACACAUCUGACCAUCACCCCUGAUGAGACAAAAGCAUGACUCAUCAGUGAAGAGCACUUUUUACCAGUCCUGUCUGGUCCAGCGACGGUGGGUUUGUGCCCAUAGGCGACAUUGUUGCCGAUGUUGUCUGGUGAGGACCUGCCUUACAACAGCCCUACAAGCCCUCAAUCCAAACUCUCAGCCUAUUGCAGACAGUCUGAGCACUGAUGGAGGGAUUGCGCAUUCCUGGUGUAAC
Oncorhynchus keta (chum salmon) is the source of this 9994-nucleotide RNA transcript. It is a transcript of the gene named dnaJ homolog subfamily C member 11, with no coding region annotated. The transcript has 17 exons. NCBI's taxonomy places the organism in Eukaryota, Metazoa, Chordata, Actinopteri, Salmoniformes, Salmonidae. The record is from RefSeq and is a predicted model, not a curated record.